AACGAACGCUGGCGGCAUGCCUAACACAUGCAAGUCGAACGAGACCUUCGGGUCUAGUGGCGCACGGGUGCGUAACGCGUGGGAACCUGCCCUUAGGUUCGGAAUAACUCCCCGAAAGGGGUGCUAAUACCGGAUAAUGUCUUCGGACCAAAGAUUUAUCGCCCUUGGAUGGGCCCGCGUUGGAUUAGCUAGUUGGUAGGGUAAAAGCCUACCACGGCGACGAUCCAUAGCUGGUCUGAGAGAAUGAUCAGCGACACUGGGGCUGAGACGCGGCCCAGACUCCUACGGGAGGCAGCAGUGGGGAAUAUUGGAAAAUGGGGGAAAGCAUGAUCCAGCAAUGCCGCGUGAGUGAUGAAGGCCGUAGGGAUGUAAAGCUCUUUUACCCGGGAUGAUAAUGACAGUACCGGGAGAAUAAGCACCGGCUAACUCCGUG
Molecule: ribosomal RNA, 433 nt
Filed under: uncultured bacterium
Lineage: Bacteria
Description: partial 16S ribosomal RNA
Rfam family: Bacterial small subunit ribosomal RNA
Source: RNAcentral